AUUGAACGCUGGCGGCAGGCCUAACACAUGCAAGUCGAGCGGUAACACAGAGAGCUUGCUCUCGGGUGACGAGCGGCGGACGGGUGAGUAAUGUCUGGGAAACUGCCUGAUGGAGGGGGAUAACUACUGGAAACGGUAGCUAAUACCGCAUAAUGUCGCAAGACCAAAGAGGGGGACCUUAGGGCCUCUUGCCAUCGGAUGUGCCCAGAUGGGAUUAG
Molecule: ribosomal RNA, 218 nt
Filed under: uncultured bacterium
Lineage: Bacteria
Description: partial 16S ribosomal RNA
Rfam family: Bacterial small subunit ribosomal RNA
Source: RNAcentral